Long non-coding RNA from Esox lucius (northern pike), 611 nucleotides. RefSeq lists it as uncharacterized. The record is from RefSeq and is a predicted model, not a curated record. Lineage: Eukaryota; Metazoa; Chordata; Actinopteri; Esociformes; Esocidae. The transcript is spliced from 3 exons.
ACGUGCGGUAAGUCGCUAUUAGUGAGUGAUUUUUUUCCUCUCCCAUCUGUCACGGGUGUCCGUUGCAAUCUUGUUUAGGAUGGGGUGAAUGUUGAUUACAUUCGUUUUGGAACAGGGAUGCAUUCCGUUCUUCUGCCAGAUGCCCCUUAUGUGGCGGUCUGACGAAGUCGGCUCCAAACAAAAAUGACGUAAUAAACACGUGGAGUAAUAGGUAAAAUCGGUGCAUUCAAGAAGCCUCUGAUACAGAUGGUGAGAAGGAAGCCCCAUCAGUCAGCCAACCCACCUACACUACAUAGGAACCCUGGCUUCAUCAGUCUACAUUCCCCGCUAGACCUUGGCCCCAGCAGAUGUCAACACCACAAGCCAUUUUAAGAAGCCACCAGACACACCAGGGAGAAAUGUGGAGGGUGUGGACAUCCUUUGCCAAGGAUGGACGCCUUCCUUUUCUCUCCUCCUCUGUCAUGAUAAUCGGAGGCCUCCUUCCACAGUUUUAACCCUUAAGUGAACAUUUACUUUUAAAUAUAAGAAAACAUUAACUAAACAUUUUACUGUUUAGAAUGAAAAGAUAUGUCCAGUGUGGGGCUCAAAUUCUUAUUUCAGUAAUAUUCAAA